GCCGGUGUGUCGGAAUUGGUAGACGAGAUAGACUCAAAAUCUAUUAUCCGCAAGGGUGUGUGGGUUCGAGUCCCACCACCGGUACCA
This 87-nucleotide transfer RNA is filed under the name Clostridiales bacterium. RNAcentral describes it as "tRNA-Leu". It matches the Rfam family "tRNA". Rfam says of the family: Transfer RNA (tRNA) molecules are approximately 80 nucleotides in length. Their secondary structure includes four short double-helical elements and three loops (D, anti-codon, and T loops). RNAcentral also lists the same sequence under 1 other name. The record is from RNAcentral. Lineage: Bacteria; Bacillati; Bacillota; Clostridia; Eubacteriales.